ACUCUAAUGAGACUGCCCGGUGGACAAACCGGAGGAAGUGGGGAUGACGUCAAGUCCUCAUGGCCCUUAUAGUGGGGCUACACACGUCAUACAAUGGCCGGUACAAAGGGCUGCCAACCCGCAGGGGGAGCCAAUCCCAUAAAACCGGUCGUAGUCCGGAUCGCAGUCUGCAACUCGACUGCGUGAAGUCGGAAUCGCUAGUAAUCGUGGAUCAGAAUGUCACGGUGAAUACGUUCCCGGGUCUU
This 245-nucleotide ribosomal RNA is filed under the name uncultured Comamonadaceae bacterium. Its description in RNAcentral is "partial 16S ribosomal RNA". It matches the Rfam family "Bacterial small subunit ribosomal RNA", at positions 1137 to 1382 of the family's 1533-position model. The record is from RNAcentral. Lineage: Bacteria; Pseudomonadati; Pseudomonadota; Betaproteobacteria; Burkholderiales; Comamonadaceae.